GAUGAAGAACGUAGCGAAAUGCGAUAAGUAAUGUGAAUUGCAGAAUUCAGUGAAUCAUCGAAUCUUUGAACGCACAUUGCGCCCGCCAGUAUUCUGGCGGGCAUGCCUGUUCGAGCGUCAUUACAACCCUCAGGCCCCCGGGCCUGGCGUUGGGGAUCGGCGGAGCCCCCCGUGGGCACACGCCGUCCCCCAAAUGCAGUGGCGGUCCCGCCGCAGCUUCCAUCGCGUAGUAGCUAACACCUCGCGACUGGAGAGCGGCGCGGCCACGCCGUAAAACACCCAACUCUUCUGAAGUUGACCUCGAAUCAGGUAGGAAUACCCGCUGAACUUAAGCAUAUCAUAAGCGAGGA
Molecule: unclassified non-coding RNA, 350 nt
Filed under: soil metagenome
Description: partial contains 5.8S ribosomal RNA, internal transcribed spacer 2, and large subunit ribosomal RNA
Rfam family: 5.8S ribosomal RNA (bases 1-120)
Source: RNAcentral